GUGCCAGCCGCCGCGGUAAUACCGGCAGCCCGAGUGAUGGCCGAUAUUAUUGGGCCUAAAGCGUCCGUAGCUGGCCGAACAAGUCCGUCGGGAAAUCCACGUGCUUAACGCGUGGGCGACCGGCGGAAACUGUUCGGCUUGGGGCCGGAGGACCCGAGGGGUACGUCCGGGGUAGGAGUGAAAUCCCGUAAUUCUGGACGGACCACCGAUGGGGAAACCACCUCAGGAGAACGGAUCCGACAGUGAGGGACGAAAGCCAGGGUCUCGAACCGGAUUAGAUACCCUGGUAGUCC
This 293-nucleotide ribosomal RNA is filed under the name uncultured bacterium. RNAcentral describes it as "partial 16S ribosomal RNA". It matches the Rfam family "Archaeal small subunit ribosomal RNA", at positions 455 to 747 of the family's 1478-position model. The record is from RNAcentral.